CCUACGGGUGGCAGCAGUGAGGAAUAUUGGUCAAUGGGCGAGAGCCUGAACCAGCCAAGUCGCGUGAGGGAGUACUGCCCUAUGGGUUGUAAACCUCUUUUGUCGGGGAGCAAAAGCCGGACGUGUCCGGCCGUGAGAGUACCCGAAGAAAAAGCAUCGGCUAACUCCGUGCCAGCAGCCGCGGUAAUACGGAGGGGGCAAGCGUGAGCAGGAUUUACUGGGUGGAAAGGGAGCGUAGACGGUUAUGUAAGUCUGGAGUGAAAGUCCGGGGCCCAAACCCGGGACUGCUUUGGAAACUGUGUAACUGGAGUACAGGAGAGGCAUGCGGAAUUCCUGGUGUAGCGGUGAAAUGCGUAGAUAUCAGGAGGAACACCGGCGGCGAAGGCGGCCUGCUGGACUGAAACUGACGUUGAGGCUCGAAAGCGUGGGGAGCAAACAGGAUUAGAUACCCCUGUAGUC
Molecule: ribosomal RNA, 459 nt
Filed under: uncultured bacterium
Lineage: Bacteria
Description: partial 16S ribosomal RNA
Rfam family: Bacterial small subunit ribosomal RNA
Source: RNAcentral